UCCCCUGCUGACACAAGCAUUAAUUAUUAACUUCACGAUUAAAUUUGUAAGCUAUAUAUAAAUUACACAAAAAAUAAUUUUAUCGUUAUUCUAAAGUUUCCCUUUAAAAUACUAAACUAUACUUCAACAAUAAACAACAUCCAAAUUAUAGAGCUACAAUACAAUCAAAUCUAAAAUAAAUAAAAUAUUAAAUUAUAUCGUACCAAUUUCGAUAAUACAAAAAUAUAAUACACUAUAAUAUUUAAGAAUGAAGCUUCUUAC
RNAcentral lists this long non-coding RNA (261 nucleotides) under Solanum tuberosum (potato). RNAcentral describes it as "long non-coding RNA (STUB_LNC008750)". The record is from RNAcentral. Lineage: Eukaryota; Viridiplantae; Streptophyta; Magnoliopsida; Solanales; Solanaceae.